RNAcentral lists this ribosomal RNA (401 nucleotides) under uncultured bacterium. RNAcentral's name for it is "bacterial SSU rRNA". It matches the Rfam family "Bacterial small subunit ribosomal RNA", at positions 356 to 774 of the family's 1533-position model. The record is from RNAcentral.
GGGGAAUCUUGCACAAUGGGGGCAACCCUGAUGCAGCGACGCCGCGUGAGCGAUGAAGCCCUUCGGGGCGUAAAGCUCUUUCGACCGGAACGAUAAUGACGGUACCGGGAGAAGAAGCUGCGGCUAACUACGUGCCAGCAGCCGCGGUAAUACGAAGGCAGCAAGCGUUGUUCGGAGUUACUGGGCGUAAAGAGUGCGUAGGCGGUUUUCUAAGUUCGGUGUGAAAUCUCCCGGCUUAACUGGGAGGGUGCGCCGAAGACUGGGAAGCUGGAGUGUGGGAAAGGCAGGCGGAAUUCCUGGUGUAGCGGUGAAAUGCGUAGAUAUCAGGAGGAGCACCGGCGGUGUAGACGGCUUGCUAGACCAUAACUGACGCUGAGGCACGAAAGCGUGGGUAGCAAACA